UCCAUUCUAUUCGUUAACCAGCUUCCCCCCAAAAAUUUCUCCCAAAUUCUAAAAUCCCGCCCUCUCUAAUUUCCAACCCCCUCUAAAAUCCCUAACCCCAAUCUCUGUUCUCUCUGAUCUCUCCAAUAGCCGCGACCUUCGUGCAUCCUUCCUCCCUGUCUCCUUCUCUUGUGUUACAUUACAUCACCUUCUCCUUUCUUCUCCUUCCUCCCCCAAUCGCUUUCGUAAAACGUCAAAAACUAACCAGCAGGGCUCGAUCCCCAAGAGUUCGAGCUUUGAUCACCUCCUUGAUCUUCGAUUUCGUCAGUGAAGAGGGUGCCAUCGGCAUCGAAUCUUAGGUCGAGAUCAUCAAUGGGAUCGGAGAAGGGGACGCCGAAGAAACCGGAUCCUAAGAUUGUUCGUGCUGCUACUGGUUACGUCCUUGAGGAUGUUCCUCACGUGACUGAUUAUAUCAAGGAUCUUGCUUUAUUUUUAAUUUUAAUUAAAAAUAUUUUUUUUUGGGUUUUGACUUUGUUGUUGGUGGUGAGUUGAUCCCUGUUAAUAAUUGCAAAUUAGAAGCUGUGGUAUUUGAUUUUUAACAUUGCUUAAAGUGGAGCUUUUAUCAUGUUCCAUUAAUCUUGGCUCUCAUAAUUUUGAGUGUGAUAGCAGAUAGCUUACACAAUAUUUCUAAUCACCCUUGGAACUUUUUCCCCCUCUUUUUAUCUUUUUAAUGAGUUUGGCUCAUCCAUUUGUUAUUUUCUUUUGACAGACAUAUCCCAACCUGCUACAAGAUAAUCCAGCAUAUUCAGUGGUGAAGUAUGCGCCCAUCUAAUUCAUCAUUUGAGGUUAGAGGAGGUACUCCCGUAGGGAGCAACAGUACGAUACGACGUUCUAAUACAGACGACACUGAUAACAAGGAUGUCGACAACGACAAAGACGAUGAUGAGGAGUGAGUGAGACUUGUGUUAAGACAUAUUAUGACUUUUGAAUUUUACCUAUAUGUAAUAUAUUUGUGAUUUUAUUGCGUAGUGAAUGAAUAUUAUUUGAGCAUGCGAGAUAUAUUGUGAUUGUGAUUA
Asparagus officinalis (garden asparagus) is the source of this 1055-nucleotide long non-coding RNA. RefSeq lists it as uncharacterized. The record is from RefSeq and is a predicted model, not a curated record. NCBI's taxonomy places the organism in Eukaryota, Viridiplantae, Streptophyta, Magnoliopsida, Asparagales, Asparagaceae. The transcript is spliced from 3 exons.